CAUGAAGUUUGGAAAAGACAACAAAUGAGCCCAUACCCAGAGCCUUUCAUGAAGGCCAUGGGCUUUCUCCAUAGAAGAAAGCAUGACCUUAACGUAUCCGCUCCAGUUACAGGGGUUCAUGGUCCUAGCCUGGAUCAAAGCUCAUUCUUUAGCUGCUGUCGGUCCUCAUUCCAGAAGCAGAUUGGGUCCAAGGUCAACUGCCUGUUCAGGGCUUGUUGAAGUACAAGGUUAGCACUCUGCUCGUUUUGCCAGCUUCCAGCCCAGUGAAACAUUAACGUGUUUGCUUUUGCCAGUGGAUGUCUCAAUUAUGUUCCUGUGUAAAUAAAGCACUGGUAUUUGCCACCACUUGAUUCAA
This is a long non-coding RNA of Suricata suricatta (meerkat), 355 nucleotides long. RefSeq lists it as uncharacterized. Lineage: Eukaryota; Metazoa; Chordata; Mammalia; Carnivora; Herpestidae. The transcript has 2 exons. The record is from RefSeq and is a predicted model, not a curated record.